RNAcentral lists this ribosomal RNA (484 nucleotides) under uncultured bacterium. RNAcentral describes it as "bacterial SSU rRNA". It matches the Rfam family "Bacterial small subunit ribosomal RNA", at positions 28 to 507 of the family's 1533-position model. The record is from RNAcentral.
GAUUAACGCUAGCGGCAGGCCUAAUACAUGCAAGUUGAACGGGAUUAGUUGUAGCAAUACGAUUAUGAGAGUAGCGCACGGGUGCGUAACACGUAUGCAACCUACCUAUAACUGGGGGAUAGCCUCCCGAAAGGGAGAUUAAUACCGCAUAACAUUAUGAAGUGGCAUCACUUUAUACUUAAACCUCAGGGGGUUAUAGAUGGGCAUGCGUCCGAUUAGCUAGUUGGUGAGGUAAUGGCUCACCAAGGCUCCGAUCGGUAGGGGGUCUGAGAGGAUGAUCCCCCACACUGGUACUGAGACACGGACCAGACUCCUACGGGAGGCAGCAGUAAGGAAUAUUGGACAAUGGGCGCAAGCCUGAUCCAGCCAUGCCGCGUGAAGGAUGAAGGCCCUAUGGGUCGUAAACUUCUUUUAUACGGGAAAAAACCCCCCGAUGCGUCGGGGGUUGAUGGUACUGUAAGAAUAAGGGUCGGCUAACUUCGUG